UAGGGAAUCUUCGGCAAUGGACGAAAGUCUGACCGAGCAACGCCGCGUGAGUGAUGAAGGUUUUCGGAUCGUAAAACUCUGUUGUUAGAGAAGAACAAGGACGUUAGUAACUGAACGUCCCCUGACGGUAUCUAACCAGAAAGCCACGGCUAACUACGUGCCAGCAGACGCGGUAAUACGUAGGUGGCAAGGGUUGUCCGGAUUUAUUGGGCGUAAAGCGAGCGCAGGCGGUUUCUUAAGUCUGAUGUGAAAGCCCCCGGCUCAACCGGGGAGGGUCAUUGGAAACUGGGAGGCUUGAGUGCAGAAGAGGAGAGUGGAAUUCCAUGUGUAGCGGUGAAAUGCGUAGAUAUAUGGAGGAACACCAGUGGCGAAGGCGGCUCUCUGGUCUGUAACUGACGCUGAGGCUCGAAAGCGUGGGGAGCAAACAGG
Molecule: ribosomal RNA, 429 nt
Filed under: Gemmatimonadota bacterium
Lineage: Bacteria; Pseudomonadati; Gemmatimonadota
Description: Gemmatimonadetes bacterium partial 16S ribosomal RNA
Rfam family: Bacterial small subunit ribosomal RNA
Source: RNAcentral